UACGUAGGGUGCGAGCGUUGUCCGGAUUUAUUGGGCGUAAAGAGCUUGUAGGCGGCUCGAUCACGUCGGGGUGUGAAACUCGCGGCUCAACCGCGAGCCUGCACCCGAUACGGGCGGGCUGGAGUUGACGGCAGGGGAGACUGGAAUUCCUGGUGUAGCGGUGGAAUGCGCAGAUAUCAGGAGGAACACCGGUGGCGAAGGCGGGUCUUCUGGGCCGAUACUGACGCUGAGAAGCGAAAGCGUGGGGAGCGAACAGG
RNAcentral lists this ribosomal RNA (257 nucleotides) under uncultured bacterium. RNAcentral describes it as "partial 16S ribosomal RNA". It matches the Rfam family "Bacterial small subunit ribosomal RNA", at positions 524 to 776 of the family's 1533-position model. The record is from RNAcentral.